RNA transcript from Chinchilla lanigera (long-tailed chinchilla), 9291 nucleotides. It is a transcript of the gene named kinesin family member 21B, with no coding region annotated. The record is from RefSeq and is a predicted model, not a curated record. Lineage: Eukaryota; Metazoa; Chordata; Mammalia; Rodentia; Chinchillidae. The transcript is spliced from 36 exons.
UCGUGCUGCCGGCUGUCAGCUAGCUUUGCGCCACCGCCCGAUGGCGCGAGGAGGCGCGCGGGACCAGCCGUGGGGGGCCGGCCGCGAGUGAGCCCCUCUGCCUGUCGUCCGAGAGCAUGUCACCUCCAGCGUCCGCGUCAGCCUUCGCCUGCAGCACCCGCGUCCCCGCCUCCUGCAGCCGCAGUCGCAGCCGCUGCCUUGGGCAUUGGCCUCCUGACCCCCUCCCCUGCUCCCCCCGACCCUAGCGCCAGGGGACCAUGGCUGGCCAGGGCGACUGCUGCGUCAAGGUGGCCGUCAGGAUCCGGCCUCAGCUGUCAAAGGAGAAGAUUGAGGGCUGUCACAUUUGUACCUCUGUCACCCCAGGGGAGCCCCAGGUCCUGCUGGGGAAGGACAAGGCCUUCACCUAUGACUUUGUCUUUGACUUGGACACAUGGCAGGACCAGAUCUAUACAACCUGUGUGAGCAAGCUCAUUGAGGGCUGCUUCGAGGGCUACAAUGCCACAGUGCUGGCCUACGGGCAGACGGGGGCUGGGAAAACAUACACCAUGGGCACUGGCUUCGACAUGGCAACAUCGGAGGAAGAGCAGGGUAUCAUUCCAAGAGCCAUCGCACACCUCUUCGGGGGCAUCGCUGAGCGCAAGCGGCGGGCACAGGAGCAGGGCAUAGCUGGGCCUGAGUUCAAAGUCAGCGCUCAGUUCUUGGAGCUCUACAAUGAGGAGAUCCUUGACCUGUUCGAUAGCACUCGUGACACUGACGCCCGCCACCGCAGGUCCAACAUCAAGAUCCAUGAGGAUGCCAAUGGCGGCAUCUACACCACAGGCGUCACUUCUCGCCUCAUCAACUCCCAGGAGGAGCUGAUCCAGUGCCUGAAGCAAGGCGCCCUGUCACGCACCACGGCCAGCACCCAGAUGAAUGUACAGAGCUCCCGAUCCCACGCCAUCUUCACCAUCCACCUGUGCCAGAUGCGCGUGUGUGCCCAGCCCGACCUGGUGAAUGAGGCAGUGACCAGGCUUGCAGACGGCGCAGCUCCUACAAGCGAGUAUGAGACUCUCACGGCUAAGUUUCACUUUGUGGACCUGGCCGGCUCAGAACGCUUGAAGCGGACAGGGGCCACCGGCGAGCGGGCCAAAGAGGGCAUCUCCAUCAACUGUGGCCUGCUGGCCUUGGGCAAUGUCAUCAGCGCCCUGGGAGACCAAAGCAAGAAGGUGGUCCACGUGCCCUACAGGGACUCCAAGCUCACUCGGCUUCUCCAGGACUCACUGGGGGGCAACAGCCAGACCAUCAUGAUCGCCUGUGUGAGCCCCUCAGAUCGGGACUUCAUGGAGACGCUCAACACACUUAAAUAUGCCAAUCGGGCUCGCAACAUCAAGAACAAGGUAGUGGUGAACCAGGACAAGACCAGCCAGCAGAUCAGUGCACUGCGGGCCGAGAUCGCGCGCCUGCAAAUGGAGCUGAUGGAGUAUAAGGCGGGCAAGCGGGUGAUCGGGGAGGAUGGUGCUGAGGGCUAUAGCGACCUGUACCGGGAGAACGCCAUGCUGCAGAAGGAGAACGGGGCACUGCGGCUGCGGGUGAAGGCCAUGCAGGAGGCCAUCGAUGCCAUCAACAACCGCGUCACCCAUCUCAUGAGCCAGGAGGCCAACCUGCUUCUGGCCAAGGCUGGUGAUGGCAAUGAGGCUAUUGGCGCUCUGAUCCAGAACUACAUCAGGGAGAUUGAGGAGCUCCGCACAAAGCUCCUGGAGAGCGAAGCCAUGAAUGAGUCCCUCCGGCGCAGCCUCUCCCGAGCCUCGGCUCGGAGCCCCUACUCCCUGGGAGCGUCUCCAGCCGGCCCAGCCUUUGGGGGCAGCCCGGUCAGCUCCAUGGAGGAUGCUUCUGAGGUGAUCCGCAGGGCCAGGCAGGACCUGGAGCGGCUAAAGAAGAAGGAGGUCCGGCAGCGGAGGAAGAGCAGCCCAGAGAAGGAAGCCUUCAAAAAGCGGGCAAAACUCCAACAGGAGAACAGUGAGGAGACUGAUGAGAAUGAGGCUGAGGAGGCCAAGCCCAGCCCUCGUAUCCCUGGUGCCCAGGAGGAGGAGGAGCGAGACGAGAGUGGCUGCGAGGAGGAGGAAGGGCGUGAGGACGAAGACGAGGACUCAGGCAGCGAGGAAAGCCUGGUGGACUCCGACUCUGACCCAGAGGAGAAGGAGGUGAACUUCCAGGCAGACCUGGCAGACCUGACCUGUGAGAUUGAGAUCAAGCAGAAGCUGAUUGAUGAGCUAGAGAACAGCCAGCGGCGGCUGCAGACACUCAAACACCAGUAUGAGGAGAAGCUGAUCCUGCUACAGAACAAGAUCCGUGAUACACAGCUGGAGCGCGACCGUGUGCUGCAGAACCUCAGCACCAUGGAGUGCUACACGGAGGAGAAGGCCAACAAGAUCAAGGCAGAUUAUGAGAAGAGGCUGCGGGAGAUGAACCGGGAUCUGCAGAAGCUGCAGGCUGCGCAGAAGGAGCAUGCCCGGCUCCUCAAGAACCAGUCGCGCUAUGAGAGGGAGCUGAAGAAGCUGCAGGCAGAGGUGGCUGAGAUGAAGAAGGCCAAGGUGGCCCUGAUGAAGCAGAUGCGAGAGGAGCAGCAGCGGCGGCGGCUGGUGGAGACCAAGAGGAACCGAGAGAUUGCUCAGCUCAAGAAGGAGCAGCGGCGACAAGAGUUUCAGAUCCGGGCCCUGGAGUCCCAGAAACGGCAGCAGGAAAUUGUCCUGAGGAGGAAAACCCAGGAGGUUUCUGCACUGCGGCGCCUGGCCAAGCCCAUGUCUGAGCGGGUGGCAGGGCGUUCAGGACUGAAGCCACCUCUGCAGGAUUCAGGGGCUGAGGUGUCGGCCAGCACCACCUCUUCUGAGGCUGAGUCGGGGGCCCGCUCUGUCUCCAGCAUUGUGCGCCAGUGGAACCGCAAAAUCAACUACUUCCUGGGGGACCAUCCAGCCAGCACAGUCAAUGGCACCCGUCCAGCCAGAAAGAAGUUCCAGAAGAAAGGGGCCAGCCAGAGCUUCAGCAAGGCGGCAAGGCUCAAGUGGCAGUCCCUGGAGAGGAGGAUCAUUGACAUCGUCAUGCAGAGGAUGACCAUCGUCAACCUGGAGGCCGACAUGGAACGGCUCAUCAAGAAAAGGGAGGAGCUGUUCCUCCUGCAGGAGGCGCUGCGGAAGAAGCGUGAGCGGCUGCAGGCUGAGAGCCCAGAGGAGGAGAAGGGGCUGCAGGAGCUGGCUGAGGAGAUGGAGGUGCUGGCGGCCAAUAUCGACUACAUCAAUGAUAGCAUCACUGACUGCCAGGCCACCAUUGUGCAGCUGGAGGAGACCAAGGAGGAGCUGGACUCCACAGACACGUCAGUGGUCAUCAGCUCCUGCUCUCUGGCUGAAGCCCGCCUCCUGCUGGACAACUUCCUCAAGGCGUCCAUCGACAAGGGGCUGCAGGUAGCCCAGAAGGAGGCCCAGAUCCGGCUACUGGAGGGGCGACUGAGGCAGACGGACAUGGCGGGGUCCUCCCAGAACCACCUGCUCCUAGAUGCCCUGAGGGAGAAGGCCGAGGCGCACCCUGAGCUGCAGGCACUCAUCUACAAUGUGCAGCAGGAGAACGGCUACGCCAGCACUGACGAGGAGGUCUCAGAGUUCUCUGAGGGCAGCUUCUCCCAGUCAUUUACCAUGAAAGGCUCCACCAGCCAUGAUGACUUCAAGUUCAAGGGGGAGCCCAAGCUGUCUGCCCAAAUGAAGGCUGUGUCGGCUGAGUGCCUGGGACCCCCACUGGACAUCUCCACCAAGAACAUCACCAAGUCCCUGGCCUCCCUUGUUGAGAUCAAAGAGGAUGGAGUAAGCUUCUCCAUCCGAGAUCCCUACUACCGGGACAAGGUCUCCCGCACUGUCAGCCUGCCCACCCGGGGCAGCACUUUCCCCCGGCAGUCUCGAGGCUCAGAGACAUCCCCUCUGACCCGGAGGAAGUCGUAUGAUCGAGGGCAGCCCAUCAGGUCCACAGACGUGGGAUUCACACCUCCCUCAUCCCCUCCCACUCGGCCUCGCAAUGACCGCAAUGUCUUCUCUCGCCUUACCAGUAAUCAGAGCCAGGGGUCAGCGCUGGACAAGUCUGAUGACAGCGACUCCUCUUUGUCGGAGGUCCUGAGGGGCAUCAUUACCCCGGUCGGAGGAGCAAAGGGUGCUCGAACAGCCCCGCUGCAGUGCGUCUCCAUGGCCGAGGGCCACACCAAGCCCAUCCUCUGCCUGGAUGCCACAGACGAGUUGCUUUUCACAGGGUCCAAAGACCGCAGCUGCAAGAUGUGGAACUUGGUCACUGGGCAGGAGAUCGCAGCUCUCAAAGGCCACCCCAACAACGUGGUCUCCAUCAAGUACUGCAGCCACUCAGGGCUUGUGUUCUCUGUGUCCACCUCCUACAUCAAGGUGUGGGACAUUCGGGACUCAGCCAAGUGCAUUCGGACACUCACGUCCUCGGGUCAGGUGAUCUCAGGCGAUGCCUGUGCUGCCACCUCUACACGUGCCAUCACCAGUGCCCAGGGGGAGCACCAGAUCAACCAGAUGGCUCUCAGCCCUUCGGGCACCAUGUUGUAUGUUGCCGCAGGCAAUGCCGUGCGCAUCUGGGAGCUCAGCAGGUUCCAGCCCAUUGGCAAGCUCACUGGUCACAUUGGCCCCGUGAUGUGCCUGACGGUCACCCAGACUGCCAACCAGCAUGAUCUUGUGGUGACUGGCUCCAAGGACCACUAUGUUAAGAUGUUCCAGCUGGGCGAGUGUGUGACAGGCACCAUUGGCCCGACCCACAACUUUGAGCCCCCGCACUAUGAUGGCAUCGAGUGCCUGGCCAUCCAGGGAGACAUCCUGUUCAGUGGCUCCAGGGACAACGGCAUCAAAAAGUGGGACCUGGAGCAGCAGGAGCUCAUCCAGCAAAUCCCCAAUGCACACAAGGACUGGGUGUGUGCCCUGGCCUUUGUCCCAGGCCGCCCCAUGUUGUUGAGCGCCUGCCGCGCGGGUGUCAUCAAGGUCUGGAAUGUGGACAACUUCACACCCAUUGGAGAGAUCAAGGGCCACGACAGCCCCAUCAACGCCAUUUGCACCAACUCCAAGCACAUCUUCACAGCCUCCAGUGACUGCCGGGUAAAGUUGUGGAAUUACGUCCCUGGACUCACCCCCUGCCUUCCUCGCCGGGUCCUGGCCAUAAAGGGCCGCGCCACCACCCUGCCCUGACCCUCCCCGUCUUUCCCGUCUCCUCUCUCGCUCUUUCCCUCUUUCCUUUUCCCUGUCUUUCCCCACUUCGAUCUGAGCUGCUUCCUGACGCGACCUGACGGUGAAGUUUUGGAGCGUGCGUCGGUUACCGGAGGCCCACCCUCGGAGUUAGGUCAGAGGGGCGCCUGGACCCUCCGCCCCAGCAGCCUGCACAGCGUGGAACGGAAGCUGUGGCCAACCAGAUGGGAGCUGCGCAGGGGGCAGAGGGUGUGGCCCCUCUCCUGCUCCGCCUCCUCUCCCUUGGACUUCCCACAGUAUAGGCUCCCUGUCCCUCCCCUGCCUCGGGAGCCUCUCGGUGAGAGAGAGGUUGGGGAGGAGUUAAGCUGUGAAGCCAAAGGCAUUAUCCCCCCUCUCUCUCCCCCAGCCACUCCCUGGCCUCCCCUCAGCCGGCCAGGCCAUGGUGUUUCCUGCUGAGCGGGCCCUGCCCUGUCUUCCCCACUGUUGUCCCAGGGUGGAGCCCUGUAGGAAGGUAAAGUAGCCCCAGCUCCAUGGUGCCCUCUGAUGAGCUGGCCUCCCUGUGUCUCACAGCCCAACUUCUGGAGCCACUGUACCUGCCUCUGACGCAACAAGAUAGUCCUCAGGUAACCGUGGAGACCAGGUAUAGGCAGCUGGGCUUGCAGCUGACCCCGAACCCUGUGUCCAGCUGAUUCCAGUAGGCCCCAGCCUUCCCUUGGCAGCCCUUCCCAAUAGGGCCCUGGAGGAGCUACUGGAAAUACCCCUUUGGAGAGAUGGUCAGGAAUUCAGUUAUUUAUUGUUUAUUUUUUUCCUGUUGCCUCCUGGAAACUGACUUGAAGUUUCUUCCCAUACCUUCUGUCCCUCAGCUCUUAGGGGGUCUGCUCCCAUGGCGCUCGGGGGCCGCCACCUCUGUUGGCUUUGCUCUGUAGAGGAGGGAAAUACCUGCUUCCACACUUCGCAGCUCCAGCCUAGCCCCGACUGUGCCCCUGGGGACCCUUCUAGUGCACCCCUGGCAACUAGGCUGCCUGAUGCUUCAGUGCCUUCCUCGCCCAGGCCUGGCCCGCUGCUGGGCAGCCUUACACCAGCCAUGCCCUUGGUGCCACCUGUGUCUGCUCACAGGUCUCAUGCCCUCUGCCCCUGGAAAGGGGGCGCGCUCCUCACAGCCCAGGACCAGGGAGCCCCACCCUGCAGAGUCUUAUGUGGUCAUGUAGGCAGCAGCUUAGUAGACUAUCUGGUAGGAAGCAGCUUGGGUCGCCAUGUUUUCAUCAUCAUUUGGGACAGGGAGUCUCUUCAGCUUUUUUCCUGUAGUUAUUCAGGAGAUACAUUUUCAAGCCUUAAACCCAGCAUAGUGCAUGGCCCUUCCUUUUAGGAGAUUCAUGGUGAGAAGGCAGUUGGUAGUUCUUGGAGCCUCCUUUUCCCCUGGGGCUGUGGCCUCACAACUCGAAGGCUGGGGCUAAAUCAGUGUUCCAGUGCCCCCUGUUGGAACAACUCUGGAUUUACAGGGAUGGGUCUUGGGUGGGGUCAGCUCCAUCCUUCAUCCCAGGCUUUCCCCCAAGCGUGUCCACGCUGUUUUUCCACACUGGUCUUGUGCUUCUCGGCCUCAGUCUAGGAGCCUGGAGUCCCCAUUCUUUCUAGAGGACACGUUGACUUUCGAACUUGCCUGCAGUGGCGUUGCCUCUGCACUCAGCUCGUUUUUGUGCGUCCAAGGCCAUUGGAGCCUCCCCCGGUGUGGGAGGGUCGGGGCCCCAGUGAAGGCUGUGUGGGGCUGUUCCCUCCUCGGCACCACCCCAGAGGCUGAAGAGGUCGUCCUGCUUGUGUGCGGCCCCUGCCAGAUGUGACGUUAGGUCUGGUGAGCCAAUGUCGGGAUGACCUGACUCGAAUGCUGGUCUUCUGGAACCGGAAUGGUCUGUCUGCUCUGACUGCAAAUCCUUCUUCCCCUGGCUGCCCCAGGGUUGCUGGGCAACUCCCUUCGAACUCAGAAGUGACCACCAGUCUCCUUUCCUGCCCCAUCCAGCCUUCCCCACCUGAACGGAAAGCUUUGACAUUGCACCCUGUAAGAAUGACCCUGUCUGCAUGACUGUUUACAAACUACGGAAACACACAAGACUUGUGUCCCCUGCCCUUCCCUGUGGGCUGGGGGUACCCCAACCUGAGGUGACUGUACUGUAGCUUCAAGGCCUGUUCUUGCACAAGAUGUGGUCUUAUGGCCUCCAGAGGUGCUCCUUGUUGCCCGCUGUCCGCCGUCUCUGAUGGGUCACUACCUCACCGCAGGGCUGGCCCCCCUGUCCCGGCAAGUAUCAUUGACUCUAAACUUGAAGUCCUUCUGGAUCCCUGAGCCUGUCAUCCCUGAGCUGCUCUGAGCUGUGCUGCACAAGCCCUGGGGUCUCUGCCCACACCUUCGGGAACAUCCAAGGUACACAGAUGGGGCAGGCCCCCAGCUCCACCUCUCGCACAAGCAUCCUUUGUUGGAAGCACAAACCAGUUGUGAUCUGAGCACAGUGGCAGGGCAGCUCUCAGCAGGCGAUGUGGCCAAACCGGGAGGCAGGAGGCUCCUUGAAGGUUGGCCAGGAACCCCAGUUAGACAGUGAUGCCAUAUAUUGGGGAAGGCAGCCGCCCUUGCUGAGAACAAGGCUGGGCCUAAUUCUGGGGCUUUUUAUGUUAUGUUGUGUCCCCAUCCUGAGACUUGAGACCCAGGUCAUGUCUGUAUGCCAUGGGCCCCGGGAGCAGAGCGCACCCUAGCCCAAACUCCCCCGCCUGAAUACAGGCUGUGCUAGCCCCACUGAGCCUGAAGAGUGUGGACUCAAGACUGUCUCCUGAGCCAGGUCCCUGUUUUUGAAGCUGACUGGCUUCCACGGCCCUUCGGCUUCUCAGCACAGCCCUACACCAAGGCCUCACUCUCAGUAUUAGCCAGUUCAGUGUUUGCUUUCAAUCCAGCCACUUGAUUCCUCGAGGGCAGCCAGAAUCCCCUGAGGCCACACCUGAGCCACCUUUGGAGAUUGCUGCGGAGGGAGGGGAGGGGAAGAGGCCAAGGCCACACAGCCAAGCCUUGCAGUAGUCAGGGUGCUGCCACUAAGCGCUUGGGAAAGAACAGCCUUGGAUAUGGGAAUGGCCUCCUGCCGGCCCAGCUGAGGCCUUGGAAACUCUCCUUCCCCUCCCUUGUCUAGCCCUGAUGCCUGCCAGGGGCUGUGUGGCUUGGCCACAGGGUAGCUUAAAGCACAAAACCACUUCGAUGAAGAUACUGAGUCGCCAGGACUUUUGCACACUGCCUAACAUGGUGGAGACAGGCAGGCGGCUGCUGUGAAGUCAAGGGACAUAAUGUCCCUUUGCCCAGUCUUCUCCCAUCUCUUGGGGGCCACCCCCACUGGAAUCUGGGCUGGGCACAGGCACACCCCCUGGUUGUUCAGACCCUGCCCGGGCCUGGUGUGUUUGUGGGCAGGGCCUGCCCAGCAGGAGCAGUGAAUGGCUUUCCCCUGUGAAGCCCAAACUUGUGGCACUGUCCCUUUGGCAUCUCAAACAGGAAACUGCUCACUGCUUUCUUUGCUGGGCACAGCCUCCUCCUGGUCAAUGGCCAGUGUCCCCCACAGGCCUUCCUGGGCCUGGCCUUCCCUUCCUGGCUCCCAGCUCUUCACGCCCUGUGGAGCAGAAUCUGCAGGGAAAGUUGUUUCUCUUUGGCAUCUGUGUUCUGUCCCCCAUGCCCGCCCUCCUCUACCUCUAGCCCUCAGAUGACCCCCGAGCCCUACCACACCCCAGUUUAGUACUUCCAAUGUGUGUCCCAAGGCCCUCACCAAGAAGUAGGGAGUAGAAACUGCUUGAUGAAGAACAGAUGGUCAGAGAAGACCCUUGAAGGGAUGGGGCCCUGCCUGCCCACCAGCUCUUUUCUAGCCAUCGCCCCCUGCCCAGGCUCGUGUGCCCCUCUGAGAUGUGGCUAGCACAAGGUGUAUAUAAGUUUUGUACCUCUGCUGAUGACUGUACAUAGUGUAUGAAAGUUAUUUAAGCCUCUUGCUGUACAUUUCUGUUCCUAGAUUGAAUGUGUGUGUUCUAAGAAGUUGUCAUAAAUAAAAUCUGAAUGACUGUUGUCUGUGGAAGGACU